UUUAAAGUCUAAUCUGCCCUAUGAGGAGUUAAAUGGCCGCGGUACUCUGACCGUGCAAAGGUAGCAUAAUAAUUAGUUUUUUAAUUGAAAGCUGGAAUGAAUGAUUGGACGAGAAAAUAACUGUCUCAAUUUAAUUUAAUUAGAAUUUUAUUUUUAAGUAAGAAAGCUUAAAUAAUAUUAAAAGACGAGAAGACCCUGUAGAGUUUUAUAAUUAAUUUAUUGUUAGUUUUGAAGUAUAAUUUUAUUAAUAAUUAAUUAAUUAUUUUAUUGGGGCGAUAGGAAAAUAUAGUUAACUUUUUUUAAAAAAAUUUAAACAUUAAUUUAUGACUUUAUGAUCCAUUAUUUAUGAUUAGAAGGUUAAGUUACCUCAGGGAUAACAGCGUAAUUUUUUUUUAGAGUUCUUAUCGAAAAAGAAGGUUGCGACCUCGAUGUUGGAUUAAAAUUAAUGCUUGGUGUAGGGGCUAAGUAAUUAGGUCUGUUCGACCUUUAAAAUUUUACA
RNAcentral lists this ribosomal RNA (499 nucleotides) under Maladera sp. 834651. RNAcentral describes it as "partial 16S large subunit ribosomal RNA". It matches the Rfam family "Bacterial large subunit ribosomal RNA", at positions 1844 to 2600 of the family's 2925-position model. The record is from RNAcentral. Lineage: Eukaryota; Metazoa; Arthropoda; Insecta; Coleoptera; Scarabaeidae.